RNAcentral lists this ribosomal RNA (305 nucleotides) under uncultured bacterium. RNAcentral's name for it is "bacterial SSU rRNA". It matches the Rfam family "Bacterial small subunit ribosomal RNA", at positions 334 to 656 of the family's 1533-position model. The record is from RNAcentral.
UCCUCCUACGGGAGGCAGCAGUGGGGGAUAUUGCACAAUGGGGGGAACCCUGAUGCAGCGACGCCGCGUGAACGAAGAAAUAUUUCGGUAUGUAAAGAUCUAUCAGCAGGGAAGAAAAUGACAGUACCUGACCAAGAAGCCCCGGCUAACUACGUGCCAGCAGCCGCGGUAAUACAUAGGGGGCGAGCGUUAUCCGGAUUCAAUGGGCGUAAAGGUAGCGCAGGCGGAACGGCAAGUCCGGUGUGAAAGCCCGGGGCCCAACCCCGGGACGGCACUGGAAACUGCCGGGCUGGAGUGUCGGAGGG